Non-coding RNA from Podarcis lilfordi (Lilford's wall lizard), 70 nucleotides. NCBI's taxonomy places the organism in Eukaryota, Metazoa, Chordata, Lepidosauria, Squamata, Lacertidae. The record is from the annotation of a GenBank genome assembly.
GGAUUGCUCAGUCGGUAGAGCAUGAGACUCUUAAUAUUAGGGAUGUGGGUUCAAGUCCCACACUGGAACA